RNAcentral lists this ribosomal RNA (412 nucleotides) under Brugia pahangi. Its description in RNAcentral is "partial 12S ribosomal RNA". The record is from RNAcentral. Lineage: Eukaryota; Metazoa; Nematoda; Chromadorea; Rhabditida; Onchocercidae.
UUUUAUUUUUGUUUUUAUGUUAUUUUUGUAAAAUGUUUUAGUUUUUAUAUUUUUUAAAAAGACAUUUAAAAUUUGUUUUUUGAACUGGAUUAGUACCCAGGUAAUCAAAAUUAAUUAAUUCGGGAGUAAAGUUUUGUUUAAACCGAAAAAAUAUUGACUGACCUUGGAUUUUUCUUUGGAAUAUGCGUAUGGAGAGCCCUCUUUUUUGGUGAGUCUUAUCGGCACAUGUAUGAUUGUUUAGUUUUUAUUUUAUUUGUAAUGCUUUUUAUGUUUUGUCAUUUAAAACAGAUAUAUAUUUGGCUUAUGGACUUAUAAUCGUGUGUUACUAUUAUUAAUUUUUUUUGGAUUAUUUUUUUAUUUUUUUUUGAAAUUGGAAAAGAAAGUAAUUUUUUUUUUAUAUGAAGAUAAAUUU